This 414-nucleotide ribosomal RNA is filed under the name Boana boans group sp. ABGD cluster 15. RNAcentral describes it as "partial large subunit ribosomal RNA". It matches the Rfam family "Archaeal large subunit ribosomal RNA", at positions 1927 to 2490 of the family's 2987-position model. The record is from RNAcentral. Lineage: Eukaryota; Metazoa; Chordata; Amphibia; Anura; Hylidae.
CUUGAAUAAAAUAAGAGGUCCAGCCUGCCCAGUGAAAUUAUUCAACGGCCGCGGUAUCCUAACCGUGCGAAGGUAGCGUAAUCACUUGUUCUUUAAAUGAGGACUAGUAUGAAUGGCACCACGAGGGUUCUACUGUCUCCUUUUUUUAAUCAGUGAAACUAAUCUCCCCGUGAAGAAGCGGGGAUCUUUAUAUAAGACGAGAAGACCCUAUGGAGCUUUAAACAACCAACAUUUGCUACACCACAACAUUUUCCCUAAAAGAAGUAUAGCAUUAUGAUUUUUAGUUUUCGAUUGGGGUGAUCACGGAGUAAAAUGUAACCUCCAUGCCGAAAGGGUUUUUACCCUGAGCAAAAAGCCACAGCUUUAAGCACUAAAAAAUUAACGCAGUUUGACCCAAUAUUUUGAUCAACGAAC